CAGUCGCCACGGUAAUACGGAGGGUGCAAGCGUUAACCGGAAUUACUGGGCGUAAAGCGCACGCAGGCCGUUUGUUAAGUCAGAUGUGAAAUCCCCGAGCUUAACUUGGGAACUGCAUUUGAAACUGGCAAGCUAGAGUCUUGUAGAGGGGGGUAGAAUUCCAGGUGUAGCGGUGAAAUGCGUAGAGAUCGGGAGGAACAUCAGUGGCGAAGGCGGCCAUCUGGGACAACACUGACGCUGAGGCACGAAAGCGUGGGGAGCAAACAGGAUUAGAGACCCGAGUAGUCCCUGUCUCUUAUAA
This 301-nucleotide ribosomal RNA is filed under the name uncultured bacterium. Its description in RNAcentral is "partial 16S ribosomal RNA". It matches the Rfam family "Bacterial small subunit ribosomal RNA", at positions 509 to 809 of the family's 1533-position model. The record is from RNAcentral.